Molecule: unclassified non-coding RNA, 312 nt
Filed under: Hevea brasiliensis (rubber tree)
Lineage: Eukaryota; Viridiplantae; Streptophyta; Magnoliopsida; Malpighiales; Euphorbiaceae
Source: RNAcentral
UAAAUUUUAAACCUAAUUAGAUUGGAUUAGUUUUUACCUUAUCACCCUCCGUAUUAUAAAUAUGUCAUUAUGAUUAGAGUUUUAGAAGGGACUUUUACGGUGGUUGAAAUUAGGAAAAAUUUGGACUAAUUUCUAGAUCUAUUAGUGUGUGGAAGAGUUUCUCUAUAGAAGUUUUCUUUCUCCUCAAAUUUCCGAAUCAUUCUUUACCUACAUUCACACACUAAUUACCUCAUUUAGUUAGCCUAAUUAAUCAAUUCACCAAAUUAUUUUCUUUUCUUUUCAACUCAUUCCUAAGCCCUUUUAGGUGCUAAA